CACAGACCAUUGUCUAGUUGGGAAAGAGCUAAUCCAUUUGACCUAGCCAAAGGACAUCCCUUAGGAAGGCGGCUUCACCUGAAGCCAUGCUAAAGAGAUAGGGAGGAUAAUUAGAGACAAUGUGCCUUUUCUUACCAGAGUUCUUGCCCCUCUGUCUCAGUUCCUUCAAUCUGCUAUGAAGUUCCACUGGGUCUGUCUAACUCAGAAAGAUACAAUUCUACCUUGCUCUUCUGUCCUGUUCUUCCAGGCGCUGACCAGAGAGCCUAAGUAUACUUUCUCUGGCACUUAGUAUGUUUUCCUCUUUCUCUUCUGCUGCCCUCCCAAUAUGGCCGCUUGUCUGCUAUACAGCUGAUCCCAUGCCAAUUUAACUAAAACAGUUUGGCUUUUAUUCUUCUCUGACACCAUCCUGUCGGCUGCUGAUAUUUACAGCUUGUCUGCUUUGGAGUUUUUCUUUUAAGAUUGUCCUUAAGCUUCCACUUGAACCUGUUCUUAAAUUCUUUUGUUAAUGAGGCUAGGGACCCCAAGGAGAUGAGAUACCUAUCCUAGUGUCAUGCAGAUACAUAUAAUUGUUAUUGAAAUCGUAUUAAUAAUGAAUUGUAUUAUUAUUAUGUGUAAGUGUGUGCACAUGCGUGCUUCGGUGCACUUGUGGAGGUCAGAGACCAGUCUGUGGGAACUGUUCAUUUCCUUCCACCGUGUGCAUCCUGGGGUUUGAACUCAGAUCGUCUGGCUUGGCAGCGCAUGCCUUUACCCACUGAACCAUCUCACCAAUCCAAGGGUGUAUAUGUUCUUGAGCCAGGCUUUGGCAGCCAGGUUGAUUUGCAUUCACUUUGGAGACAGCUGUGGUCUCUCGUCUUCUGGGAAAGGGCUGACCUCAUUCAACCUUUCUGGAAAUACUUUUGCAGACUCACACAUAGGCAUGUUUCAGUAGCGACGUUUGGGAAAGCGUCCUUCCGCAGAGCUCUGAAGGGUAGGAUAGGCUGUAUCUGUUAUCUCCUUGUUGGUGUGAUGAGAUACCUAUCAGAAAAGAGCCUUGUGGAAGGGAUGGCUUAUUUCAGUUCACAGUUUGAGGGGGCUGUCUGUCCUUGCAGGGAAGGCAUUGUAUGAUGUCAUGCUGUGUCUGCUGUCGAAGAUGAACCAAGCGAUGAACGGGGUGGGCGUGCUCAGCUUCCUGCUUUAUUCAUUCUGGGGCCCUAGCUCAUAGGAUGUCUGUUUUUGAUUUGUUGUAGAGCAUAGGUUCUCAAGCCGUGGCUCCCAACCCCUUUGGCCAAUCGCUAUGUCUAAAGACAUUUACAUUAUGAUUCAUAAUUGUAGCAACAUUACAAUUAUAAAAGAGCAACAAAAAUUAUUUUAUGGUUCUGGGGGGUUACCACACAUGAGGAACUUUAUUAAUGAGUUACAGCAUUCUGAAGGGUGACAGUCACUGCUGCAGAGGGGACUAGGAUUUGGUGUAUGCUAAGCUCGUACUCUAUCACUCAGACACAGCCCCAACCCAUAAAUUAUUGGGUUUCUUUGUUUUACAGUACCCUUUCUGGUUGAGCUGAGCAUAUUCUCCUUCAAGGACAGGACGUCUCUGCUUCAUAUGGUUAUUACAAUGUCAGGAUAUUUUUGUUUUGUUUUUGUUUUUGUUUUUCGAGACAGGGUUUCUCUGUAUAUCCCUGGCUGUCCUGGAACUCACUUUGUAGACCAGGCUAGCCUCGAACUCAGAAAUUCAUCUGCCUCUGCCUCCCAAGUGCUGGGAUUAAAGGCAUGUGCCACCACCGCCCGGCAUGUCAGGAUAUUUUAAAGAAGCCAUUUUAAUAGGCCUCAAAGAUUGUCUGUCUAUCUGUCUGUCUGUCUGUCUGUCUGUCUGUCUCUAUCUAUCUAUCUAUCUAUCUAUCUAUCUAUCUAUCUAUCUAUCUAUCAAUCUAUCUGCUUCAUUUUUCCAGAUAGUGUUUCUCUGUGUAACAGCCCUGGUUGUCCUGGAACUCACUCUGUAGACCAGGUUGGCCUCAGACUCACAGAGAUCUGCCUGCCUCUGCCUCCUGAAUGCUGGAAUUAAAGGCAGACGGCACCACACAGAAUGAGGGAUGUGCUUGCUGUCACACCACACAUCUGAGCCUAGGCUUCUCUGUACAGCUCUACUCCCCAUCCUAUCCCUGGGCUUCAUGCCACCUCUUUCUGCCCCUCAUCUCCUUUCUGGGUCACACUGGCCUCAAACCCCAUCUUGCAGAAGCCAAGCAUUUUGGCGCUGCAUCUGUAAAAGUCCUGCUUUAAAUUAUGAAAUGUGGGAAAAUGGACAAAACCCACCCAGGAGAGAUGCUUCUAGAGUUCUCACUUGGUCAUUUGUCUUGGUACAUUAGAGCCGCUGUGACAAAUCACUGUAAACCAAGGAAAUUCCAACAACCAGCAAUUACUUCUCCCAGCUGCAGCAGGCUCAAGGUGAGGGGGUUGGGGGGAGGUGGGAGCUGAUGUCUGGGAAAGCACCAUUCCUGGCCCGCAGGAGUUCUUAUUAUCCCCUCCCAUAGUGGACAGCUGAGAGGAAGCAAGUGCUCUGCCUCUGAGGAGAGCACUCAUCCCAUCUGGAAGGAUGCACUCUCCCAGAAGGUUCACCUCCAUGUACAGUGCUUCUCAACCCAGCACUCAGUCUGUGACAUCUGUGAUGUCAUGGAGAAGAAUGAGUAGCCUCCCCUGAUGCUUGAAAUAAACACGACUCAGAGGCAAACCUCCAAUGGCUGUCAAUACGUACAGAAUGAAGGUGAAUCUGGAAGCAUCUAGAUGGCUAAGUCUAACAGUAGGGUUAGGACCAGCAAUUAAAGAGAGGGAGGACCCACCCCUCACCACUCUCAACCCCACAAGGUACCAAUUGCCCAUAUCUCCUGAUAAAAACAACUCUUUGGUGCCCUUUGGGAGCAUGCAAUCAAAGUCCUCAUUGGAGUGGCUCAGUGUGAGGGCUGUUGCCAUCACAGAGGCUUUGCAGACUUGGGGGGGGGGUUAAACAUGAAAACUGGGUCCUGCCUGCUUCUCACUGUGAGGAGGAAGUAGCUCUCUGUCCCAUGUACCAGGAGCUGGACCACACUCCAGUCCUAUAUCUCAGAAGCUCUGGAAACUCCCUUCUGCAUAUUUCUAGAAGGAAGGACAGUGACCACCAGGGUGGGAAUCCAGCCAGUUUUUAACGGUUGACUCUGUGCAGGGGUGUGUUUUGGGUUUUGUUGAGUUUGCUUGUGUUGUGUUUGGAGACAGGGCUGCCCUCCUUCUUCCUCAGAUUCCAGAAAUGAAAGGGUUACAGGCCUGGGUCACCAAACACUCCGGUUAGACACCAGUUUAAAGAAGGUAAGUGGUUUUACAUAGAAUAUUUGGCGGAGAAAAUUCAAAUGGAAUUGGACAGGAAGUGGGUAUCCUAACUUAAUUAAAAUAAAAGUGAAGGAAAGGAAGGAUGAGAGUUUAAAGAAUUUUAAAAAAUAGGGGCUGGAGAGAUGGCUCAAUGGUUAAAAGCACUGACUGCUCUUCCAGAGGUCCUGAGUUCAAUUCCCAGCAACCACAUGGUGGCUCACAACCAUCUGUUAUGGGGUCCAAUCCCCUCUUCUAGUGUGUCUGAAGACAGCUACAGUGUCCUCAUAAGCAUUAAAUAAAUAAGUAAAUCUUUGAAAGAAAGAAUUAAAAAUAAGUGUAAAAGAAUGAGAAGAAAAUAAGUUGAAGACAGUUGUAGUAGCUUGCACAGGAUCUUGAACUUGGGGUGGGACUUGGAUCCCAGUCAGUGAGAAACCUUGUGCAGUUCUGGGCUUCUUCCUGUCCACUUUAGAUAGACAGGAAUGUAAUGGUUUAAAAGGAUUGGAACUGGGAAAUGAAGCAGCAGGUGAAUCAGGUUGCAGAAGCCAGGGGUGGCGGCUCUUGAAGAUAGUAGAUACCUUUUCCUCCUUGGAAGGUGAGAAAAACCUAAAAGGAGAAGAAUUCCAUUUGCUUAGAGCCACCAUCCUUCUCUCCAGAUGGAUGCAGUCGUACUGGCCUGGUAGUAUGGGGGUCUGUGUUCUGCCCUGCCACUGGGGUUGAGCAAGCUGCUGGAGCACGCUAUACUGUGUUUACCCUGCCCUGCUCCAGAGUUGAGGGCCCAAGGGCUGAAGAUUAAGAUGAGGGGCCUGGAACUGGGGAAUGGGAACUUUGGCUUAGCUUAUCAGAGAAAGUCCUUAGCUUGGUGGUAGUUGUCUGGGAGCACAGAGAGGCCUUCUGUGGGAGCCUACGGUUCUUGAUAAAAAGAGACUAUGUUUAUCCAUACCAUUUAUUGACUGUUUAUCAGGGGAAAUGGGGACAUAUCACCUUCUCAGGGUGGACCAGAGAUUAAAUUACAGGAAGGAAUGUCCAGAAAUGGAAGCUUAUUGUCUAAACCCUCAGGGCCUCUAGAUACCUCAUUAACAUGGAGAACUCUGUGAUCAAUGUGGGAAGUGGGGUCACGUGUUCUGGGCAAGCAAUCUAGGAGGGAGCAGGGAGACACUUACCAUCUCAGGUGGGUACCUGGGUGCCAGGGUCUCGGACCCACACAACCUAAGUUUCUUGGCAUGCUCCAUUGUCCCACAGUAGUAUUGCUAUAAUUAAGCAAAAAGUGUGCAGUCCCCAGCACAUUAGCAGGUCCAUAAUAGCUACUUGAUAGAGGACUAACCCUGUACAUGAAUGAGAAUUUGGAAGGUUGGUUGGAGAGAUCAGUGAGUAGCAGGCAGGAUAGAUGCAUGCAUGCAUGAAGAGAGGGAGGAAGGAAGAGAGGAACGAUUGCUCAGUGUAUUCUGAAGAUUCUAUUCAAAUGCUGUCUCCUGCAAGAAGACAUCUCCAACGAAUUCCUCUUAGCCCACAUAUCACUCCAUCCUCCACACUCCCCAGGUGACCUCUUAGACAACACCCCUCACUAUUAUAAAUUUCUCCUAGGUUGCCAUCUUCUGAGUGACAUCUUGUUCAAGGAUUAGAUGUAAGACUGUGCUUGGAACGGACCUCACCUCUAUGCUGUGGGUAGCCUCGGUGUGAAGCUGUGAGGGAGACAUGGUUUUUCACGCUGAGCAUGGCUGCGAGCAUUUACCAAUGCACCCCACUCACCACCUCUCCCUUUCAUUCUCAAUCAAGAAGAUAGGGCUGUGCCCUGAAAAGCCCCCAAAGAUCAGAGCUGAGUAAUCUCCCAGAAAUUUGGUUACCAACAUUUCUUAUAAAGAUCUAGCCCAAAUUUUUUGCUUUUUGCACCCUGGUUUUAUGAGAAAGUUUUUUGGUUUUUUUGUCUGUUUGUUUUUGUUUUUGGUUAUGAGUCCUUUAAAUGUUUAAAACUCUAGGCACCCAGGGACAGCAAGGUAAGGGGCAUUUUGAAGCCCUGCCUAAAUCUGCUCCCAACAGUUGGGUUGGCUAUGUGACCCCAAGUGUCUGACCUGUCUACUUGUCACAAUUCCUUUCUUUUGAGUAAGUCCACAGGGCAAAGUGGCAGUACAAACACUUCAGAAGAGACUCCCAUAAAGAAAUGGGAAAGAAUGGGCUGCAUUGUGGCAAUGUGAUUCCUAGCCAGAUGUCAUGUUUUGGGAAAAUAGAAAUUUCUGUGUGUGUGUGUGUGUGUGUGUGUGUGUAGAUGGAGAGAAUGAACAGAGCCAGCCAUGAUCCUGAAUAAAUCAGUCUGUCUCUCUGGGUGACAACUCAGAUCAUAAGAGGUCAGACGAGACAGUUUCUACACUUCUGUUACUGCAUGGGAGCCGGGUCCUAUAAGCACAUUAUCACCUGCUCUGCACAUCACAGACAUUUGUGAACAUGCUUAGUCCUCUGACCAUCCAAAUUAUUCAUACUUCCUGGCUUUGAGUAGGUCAUGGAUUUCCCCAGUAUUUCCCAUAAGAGAGAGUUUGCUUUAUCGACCCCAUAUAGAAAGGUGAUUUCCAAAUGAAUAAAAAGUAAAGCCAAGGAAGAGGGAAAGGAAGGAAAAAUCAUCUUGGAGCAUUCACUAUGCAUCAAAUCUCAGACCCAGAAGUUUCAUAUCCUACUCCUCCUCACAAUACCCUGAGAAACCAAGAGGUGUUAUUUUGAUUUUUGUUGUAAUUUAAAAAAAGGUAACUGAAGAUUUCCCUUUGACCUUAGGUCUAGCCUAAUUCCAAGUCUGUGUCCCCUCCAGGAUAUAGUGCAGGAAAUCAGGAUAGAUCUGUAAGCUGAAGACCUGUGUGAGAGUCCUUCUGCUAAAAGUCCCCUACCUGUAUACCAGUUCCCACCCAGUAAAGCUCCAAGAAGUCGUUGAAUCUGCACUGUCCUAGACAGGCUCAUCUUUUGAGCCUUCAGAAUGUGGGUUUUGGCUGAUGAAAGUGAAUUGUUGCAGGGUGAGUUUUUAAAGGUUAGACCCAGCCCUGGUUCCAGCCUGAGCUCACUUGCUUCCGGACUCGCAGCACUAACCAAGUUGCAACUUCAUGCUACCUCCACAAGUAGACCCCUUCCAUCACCAUGCUUCAACUCUGACAUGACUGUUUGGGUUUUGUUUGGUUUGGUUUGGUUUGGUUUUGGUUUUUGGUUUUUGAUUUUUGGGUUUUUUUGAGACAGGGAUUCCCUGUGUAGUCCUGGAACUCACCUGUAGAUCAGACUGAUCUUAAACUCAGAGAUCAGCCUGCCUCCGCCUCCCCAGUGCUUGGGUUAAAGGCAUGUGUCACUACCACCCAGCUUUAAAUUUUUUGAAAUAUAUCUGUCCUUCCUUAAUUUAUCUCUAUGGGACAUUUUAGUCACAUGACAAGAAAAGUAACAAAGCGUAAUUUGUUUUAACCAAAGGCUCAGUCCUAGAAACACUUGCUGCAAGAUGAGGCAUAGCUCACUGGUAGAGCACUUGCCUAGUGUGAGGAGCUGAAUUUGUAACCUAAAACCUAUGUAAAAAGGCCAGGAUUAGUGCUAUGCCUAAUCCCAGCACUGGGGUGCAAACCCCUGGGGUUCACUAGACAGCCCACCUAGACUAAUUGGCAAGCUGCCGGCCUGAGGAAAGCUACUGUCUCAAAGUACAGCACGGGGCUGAAGAAAUGGAUGAGACUUGGGACGUUCCUACGUGGCGUCCUUCCCUCGGCCCUGCAGAUGCCAUCCAGUCUCGCAGGAAUGGCUUACCUCCUGCAUUUCCUUCCUGCUCUGCCCGUCGUCCUCUUGGGGAAGAAAACAAAGGCCAUCUCUUCCCUGAUCGAGGGCCCUCAUAUCCUGCACUGCUGAGAUUAGAUGACCUCUCGGGCUGACCUGCUUCGGGUUAAAUAAGCCUAUUCAUCGAACCUUUUCCUUCUCUGAACUAUAUACAGCCCACCUAUCAGUUUCCUGGCUCCUUUCUGGACUCCCAAGGUGAAGAAUAGAAUUCAGAAAAUGUUCCUCUUGUGGAGGCUCUUACAAAGUCUCUCUUCUCUAAUUUUCUCCUGGGAAGCCAGGCCUACGCCAUGCCC
This 7382-nucleotide long non-coding RNA is filed under the name Mus musculus (house mouse). RNAcentral describes it as "long non-coding RNA chr12:12878979-12886361". Lineage: Eukaryota; Metazoa; Chordata; Mammalia; Rodentia; Muridae. The record is from RNAcentral.